GGGAACUUGCAAGGGAGCGUGUGAGAAGGACAGGUGGGGUCAGGCAUCUGCAGCUACCGAGAUAGCCAUCCCCAUCACCUCUCAGUGCUCACGCAGCCAGAAGUAGCUGUACUGAUCAGUUCAGACAUCGUGCAGCUGAAACACAAACAUCUGCCGUUCACUUGUGUGAACCUCUGUAAUCUGCUGUACAUGCACUUCUCCAGCAACGAGUCAUGUCGGUACUGAAGCGAAGGCAAGAUGAGCUGGAAACGGAAUCUACUUAUAUGCAGCAUCUGACAACUGGGAAUGGCAAACCAAGUAAUGAUGGAUUGGAGAGUGAUGAAAAGAUGAAGCUUCU
This is a long non-coding RNA of Gallus gallus (chicken), 337 nucleotides long. RefSeq lists it as uncharacterized. The transcript is spliced from 3 exons. Lineage: Eukaryota; Metazoa; Chordata; Aves; Galliformes; Phasianidae. The record is from RefSeq and is a predicted model, not a curated record.